RNAcentral lists this ribosomal RNA (481 nucleotides) under uncultured bacterium. Its description in RNAcentral is "partial 16S ribosomal RNA". It matches the Rfam family "Bacterial small subunit ribosomal RNA", at positions 28 to 507 of the family's 1533-position model. The record is from RNAcentral.
GAUGAACGCUGGCGGCGUGCUUAACACAUGCAAGUCGAACGAAGCAUUUAGGACAGAUUACUUCGGUUUGAAGUUCUUUAUGACUGAGUGGCGGACGGGUGAGUAACGCGUGGGUAACCUGCCUUGUACUGGGGGAUAGCAGCUGGAAACGGCUGGUAAUACCGCAUAAGCGCACAAUGUUGCAUGACAUGGUGUGAAAAACUCCGGUGGUAUAAGAUGGACCCGCGUCUGAUUAGCUAGUUGGUGAGAUAACAGCCCACCAAGGCGACGAUCAGUAGCCGACCUGAGAGGGGGACCGGCCACAGUGGGACUGAGACACGGCCCAGACUCCUACGGGAGGAAGCAGUGGGGAAUAUUGCACAAUGGAGGAAACUCUGAUGCAGCGACGCCGCGUGAGUGAAGAAGUAAUUCGUUAUGUAAAGCUCUAUCAGCAGGGAAGAUAGUGACGGUACCUGACUAAGAAGCUCCGGCUAAAUACGUG